UGUCCCCACGCCCUUGUCCAAAUUCCCUCUCUUGUUGCCUCAGAAGUGGCACUUUAGACCUUGCAGCAUUCACACAGAUGCAGAAAUGUCUUGAGGCCAUUGAUCAGAUAUCCUUGUGUAUUCUGGCCUUCCACAUACCCUUGCAGAAGUCAAUACAGUGAAUCCCAGAAAGUGAAAAAAAGCCAUAGAAAGUGAGACAACUGCAAGGUAACAGCAUGGAUUUUGGAAAGGAGCUUUGUCCUCCUUCAAAGUUAUGCCACAUCUGAAGUGCAGCCAGAUCUCCCUUAAGUGUGCUGACAGAUGCAGAGGAAAGACAUCCUGUCUCUAUUCUUGCACCCUUCACCAUUGCCUCCUAUCAUAA
Molecule: long non-coding RNA, 361 nt
Filed under: Ficedula albicollis (Collared flycatcher)
Lineage: Eukaryota; Metazoa; Chordata; Aves; Passeriformes; Muscicapidae
Description: lncRNA (ENSFALG00000022190.2)
Source: RNAcentral